UAAAAAAACAUUUUCAUUUGUGUCAAAUAUACACCCCUUAAAAUAUUCUCAGUGUCGAAAGAUAAUGUGUGUAUUCUUUGUGAUUUUAAUUAACCAGACGUUACUAAGAUAUUUUCAUUCUUUUUAAUUGUAAUUCAGUUUGAUAAUUUUUAUUCUCUAGUCCGUGACAAAAUACUAUUCGAUAUCAACGUUUUUAUUGAUGAAACUCCUUAAAGACAUUAUUGGAGGUUUACAAGGACCCCAGUUACUACAAUUUUCAUAUCAUUAUUACUAUUAUCUUAAAAGACAAGAAAAUCAAUAAGAUGUAAUAUGUUCAAUCAUAAAUCAUUAGGUCCCCUAGUCUAAGUGAUCCGAAAAAUAUUCAUUGAGUUGGCUUCAAGCAAUUCUUUCUUUACAUAUUUAGUGAUCACAAUAUGUUCUUUCAUAGUUACUUGGUCUCAGUUAAAUGGAUUUUGGACAAUCCUCACGUUAUUAGCUAGCUUUAAUUUGUGGUUGAGUUAUAGACUCAAAUGUCCAUUUCUUAUAUGUUUAAAAGACUUUGAUUUAUGCACACUAUUGUUUGGUUACUUGACGAAAUCACUCAAUUUCCUGUGGAUAGCAGCCUACCAGGAAUUAUACACCACACAAACCAUUACGUUCCAAGACAAAGUUGAAGAUUCAAACCUAGUUGUUGUAUAGCAUUUAGAGGGACCAUCCCACAUAAAGCAGACCACUGGAUAACAGAUGUGGACCUUUCAUGGUACGAACUUGAAUGUGUAGGUAAAUAAACUACAUGCUGGAUUCAUGAUAGCACUGGGCUUGCAAAAGAAUACAGGUUGGCCCAAAGAAAGGCCGAAAACUAUUUGCAUAUUAUGAAAUCAGAAAAGAAACAAAAUUUAUACUGACUGAACAUAGUUGGCAAUUUUAUUGACUUUGCAUGAAGAGGAAUGGCUGUUGGAUAAAUUGGAAGGAAUUUACACAUUUGGACAACCUAGGGUUGGUGAUACAUAAAUUGGGAAGUUCAUGAAGGACAAGCUUAAUAAGUAUGAUGUCAAGUAUUAUAGACAUGUUUGUUCCAAUGACAUGGUUCCUGGGUUGCCAUAUGAUGACAGAACCUUCUUCAAGCAUUUUGGUAUCAUGUCUCUACUAUAACAGCCUCUACAAUGGCAAGGUGGUCAAGGAAGAACCAAACAAGAAUUGCUAUGGUUUUUGCCCACGUUGUGUUGACUGUGGUAAAUGAAUUUACUAGGGGGUUCAUCCUCCCUUGGACAAAGGGCAGUCAUUACAGAGAGGACUGGUUCCAGAAAAUGUUUAGGAUGGUAGGAUUGGUGAUUCCAGGAUUAUCAGUUCAUACUACUAUAGAUUAUGUUAAUCUAACUCAAUUGGGAUCAGUUCUUCAACUUCCACAAUCAGUUCAUCAAGAGUGUCUUGAAGAUGAUUGAUUUUCAAGAUUCAGAGUCGUUGGAAACAACCUUUCUACUUCAUCUGAAGUGGACUGCGUACACUUUACCUCCCAGACUCCACUUGGUGGGAAUACACCGGGUAUGUUGUUGUAGAGACACUUAAAGUGAGAGAGGAUAAUUCCGAUCAAGUUAACGGCUUAAAUAUUUUAUUUUGUUAUUGAUUUGUGUUAUUUUGUAUAGUAUCGACUUAAGAUGAGUUUAUAUAAUGUAAUAUGACCAAUAAGGAUGCAUAUAACCAACCUCAUUGUAAUUAUAGAAUCAGGUCAAACGACACAUAACUUACCUCGCGGAUCAAAUCUGUGGAUGAUGCUCUUUUAGGGGUUUCAGAUUUUUAUUCCAAUGCUCUUUUAGCCUUAAUUCCCACUGCCCGCUUAACAACAUGCAAGCAGUUCAAUUUUUGUGUCACGUACUAAAUGUGAAACUUCUUUUGAGCCGAGGCUCUGUUAGAAGCAACCUUCUAUCCCACAAGAAUAGGAGUAAGGUUUGUGUGCAUCCUACCUCCCCACUUAUGCGAUUACACUGGGUAUGCUGUUGUAGCAGCAACUGCCUAGGCCACUCAAGCUUUAAUGGUUAAUGACCUUAUUCCAGUUUAUCAGGAGAAGUUUGGUUUCCCACUCUAUAGACAGUAUAGUUUCUUUGAGUUGUAUCAUGUUCUUUGCUGAUGGAAGCAGGGAUAAGGAACCCAUGAACUUGUUAUUCGAAUUAUAAAGUAGCGAAUUUGCCAUUUGGGUGUGGAAUGAAGCAAGAACAAAUUUAAAAGAGCUCAUGGAUUAUUGGUAAAUUCAUUACAUACAGAUCGAAUCAUAGGAGAUGUUUUUAGAAUCUUAUAGAGCAACGAGAUUUUGAAGAUAUAGGUGCUUGAAGUAGGACAAAAAAUAACCCUUGUAAUUGGAGCAUCAAGAUGGAACUUGAGUUGCACUUCAACAUCCAUGGACAAUGGAAACUUUUCAUUCUGUUCAUGCUUCUGACGUAAACUAUUCAGUAGGCAGAUACCAUCAUACAGGGGGGGAAUUCGAUUACCCUACAGCACUGCUUUCCGGAAAGCAGCCUUGAAAGUACCAUUUUCAAAUCAAUGCCACUUAUUAUCAGAAUUAAAUGAUCUGAU
Long non-coding RNA from Capsicum annuum, 2547 nucleotides. RefSeq lists it as uncharacterized. The record is from RefSeq and is a predicted model, not a curated record. NCBI's taxonomy places the organism in Eukaryota, Viridiplantae, Streptophyta, Magnoliopsida, Solanales, Solanaceae. The transcript has 2 exons.